UACAGAGGGUGCGAGCGUUAAUCGGAAUUACUGGGCGUAAAGCGUGCGUAGACGGUUUUGUAAGUCGGAUGUGAAAUCCCCGGGCUCAACCUGGGAAUUGCAUUCGAGACUGCAAGGCUUGGGUGCGGAAGAGGGAAGCGGAAUUUCCGGUGUAGCGGUGAAAUGCGUAGAUAUCAGGAGGAACACCUGCGGUGUAGACGGCUUUCUGGACCAUUGCUGACGCUGAGACACGAAAGCGUGGGUAGCAAACAGG
Molecule: ribosomal RNA, 253 nt
Filed under: uncultured bacterium
Lineage: Bacteria
Description: partial 16S ribosomal RNA
Rfam family: Bacterial small subunit ribosomal RNA
Source: RNAcentral